Molecule: long non-coding RNA, 2966 nt
Organism: Triplophysa rosa
Lineage: Eukaryota; Metazoa; Chordata; Actinopteri; Cypriniformes; Nemacheilidae
Exons: 3
Source: RefSeq, a predicted model, not a curated record
AUUUGUUAAACUAAACUUUUUUACGUUUCUUAUGUUAAAGCUGCAAUGUGUAACUUUGGGGUUAAUAAUAAACAAAAAUCAGUCAUUGAGGAAGGAAAUAAAAGUCGGUAUUAAAGUAUCCUUAUCCCGUUUCUAAUGAUAAUGAUUUACAAUUUGAGCUAAAAGUCAGGUAUACUUAAGGAAAUGUCAGCUUGACUUCAACUCACAAAGAUAAGUAUGUAGAGCAACCUGGAAUUUUAUGUUUCAAACAGAGAUGUCAAUAGACUGAUUUCACUCCGCUGCUAUGUUGAAAUCAAAAACAAGGCAGAGGUGGGAAGAAAACCAGAAGGACAGGUAGACUACAAUGGUUUGAACUACCAUCGGGUGUCUGUUACAUGAAAAAACAAAUGAUGUGUUUUAAAACAACGUUAGAUUGGCUGUGUGCGCGAAUGAAACCCGUUUAUGGCAGUUUAAACAGUCACUAAUAUGUGAUACAGCUUAAGGGGUCAAGUAAAACAGCUCGUGUGACAUGCAUCCUAUACUUAUAUUGUCACAUUUAUGAUCAUAAUCGUUUUAAUAACUCCUGGUUGGUUGUCCAAACCAUUCCAGUCAAUCUGUCUUUCCGGUUUUCUUCCCACCUCUGCCUCACUUUCGAUUUCAACAUGGCGGGGGGGAAAUCGGUCUAUACGGAGGCAAACGUUACAAAAAAAUGAAAAUACAGUAAUAUUAUUUUAUGUUGUUCAUCUACACUCUUAAAAAGAUGCUACAAAAGCGAUUCUUUUCAACAAUGCCAUUAAACAACCACUUUUGGUUCCCUAAAGAAUCAUUCAGUCAAAGGUUCUGACUAAAAGAGUCAAAAGGACCUCUACAAAGAAUUUCGUUUUAUGGCAUCACCUUUAUUUUUAGUAGUGUAUUAUGGUUGUUGAGUGGUUGCUAAACUAAAAUCAUUUAAUUUCAAGUUCAUUUUCAGUUUGUUUUGAUUCAGACGGUCUAACAGGGCUGAAGUCUGCCUGCGUGAGUUUCUCCUUUUGAAAUGAAUCUACACUGUAAAAAAUUCCUGUUAAUUUACAUGGAAAUUUAACAGCAAAAUGCUGUUUUCGUUUAAUAGCAGUAUGUUACUGUUUUAUACAGUGCAUUGUGGGAAGACUUGUUCACUUCAGGUUAGUGGUCGAACAACCACAGUAUGUCACUGUUAUUUAACAGCAUUAUACCAUAUUUUCCUAUCUGCGCCAUUUGGAUUAUCAGCAUGAGGUACGUCUGCACCUUUAUCUAUGGUUGUAAUAUCUUUAAAUUAAAUGUUAGAUCUUAAAUAUCCAGUGAAGUUUUUAUUAUUUAAUAACAUUUCCUGUUUUAAUCAGGCAAAGUAUUUCUGAAAACAACGCUAAGAUACUGUAUGCUGGUUAGCGGAAAACUUCUGAAACAGUGACUGGGUAGCGUUAGCUUAAACAGGAGAUUCAAAUGCUUGUGACUAAAAGGAGAAAGUCUAAUGGCUCACUUUGCAGAGAAGCAAGAAAAAAUGAUUCUUAAAAAAAUGAGUCUGACAACAGCCAGUGCUCCACAUAGAGAUCUGAUCUUAUCAUCAUCAUCAUCAGUCUGUUUGAAAUGACAUGAAGAACCAGAACAAACUGAGACAAAGUAAAUCCAGAAGACCUGUGGCAAUGUCUCCAAGAUGCUUCAAGAAACCUACCUUUUAACUGUUGUUUAACCGGCUUGUAUGUUGUAAACCGUGUUUUCAUUUGUUUGUUAAAGUGAGAGUUCACCCAAAAAUGAAGAUUCUGUCAUCAUUUACUCACCCUCUUGUCAUUGUAAACCUGUAUAACUUUCUUUUUUUCUGCAGAACACACAGGAAGACAUUUUGAAUAAUGUUGGUAACCGGCCCCCAUUCACUUGCAUUGGUUUUGUGUCCAUACAAUUGAUGUGAUUGGGUGUCGGCGCUGUUCGGUUACCAACUUUCUUCAAAAUAUCUUCUUUUGUGUUCUACAGAAGAAAGAAAGUCAUAAAAGUUUGAAAUAACCAGAGGGUGAGCUAAUGAUGACAGAAUUAAUUUUUUUUGGCGAACUAUCACUUUAAACCUUUUUAUUUUUUAAUUGAAUGAUUUUUUUAUUAACCUGUUUUCGUUUUAGGUUAGUGACAUUGAUUUGAAGCUACAUUUGUAUUUUAUGUUAAGGCAUUUAUAAUGCCUUAUUGUGUCUUAUUUGUUUUUGUUUAGUUGCUUUACGAAAGCCAUUUUUGUAUUUUUAUACAUUACGGGUGCUUUUUUGUUGCACCAUAGUUUGUGCAUUAAAUAUUAUAAUGAUGGCUUGUAUUUUUGCCAAUUUUAUGGCGUAACAAACAAAGCAUAUAAAAUCUGAUGUUGAAUAGGAAUAAAGAAAAGAUGAAAAAAGAAUAAGUUGGCUUCAUUUGUUUUUUAUCCACAAAUAUAAAAUACAGGGUAUAAUUGCAUUUUAAUUAAAAUAAGUUGACUAGUAUGUAAAUUAACAGCUGUAUGCUGCUAAGUAACAUUAGUAUGCUGUUCUUAAAACAGUAUCAUGCUGUUAAUUCAAAUAACAGUAACCCGCUGUUAUUUAACAGUAUAAAGCUGGCAACCACAGCUGCCAGUAGAUUACCGUUUUUUUACAGGAUCAUUUUUUACAGUGUACCACGUUCCAACAGUUUGACUUGUUCAAGCCAAUGUAAAGAAAAGAUUGUGAAUAUAAUAGGCGAGCAUUAUUGCAAUGGAAUGAUAAUCAGCCAAUCAAAGUGCAAUGGAGGCACUGUCUCUUUUCACGUAAAUGUUCUCUUUAUCUCACUCCCACCACCUACAUUUAAUCCCCACUAUAUGAGAACCCUAAUGAGAACACAAGCUCUUUGUUUGCUUCAUUUCUGUAUUGUUUCUUAUCCAAAUCUUGAAUGGGGGUGCUGCUUCCAUUACCUCCUGUGAGCAAAUGCCGCUGUAUGUGUAGUCAUAUCACAGUGCGUGUUAAUAUUUCAGCAGUAUUGACCGCAUG